Molecule: ribosomal RNA, 460 nt
Filed under: uncultured bacterium
Lineage: Bacteria
Description: partial 16S ribosomal RNA
Rfam family: Bacterial small subunit ribosomal RNA
Source: RNAcentral
CCUACGGGUGGCAGCAGUGAGGAAUAUUGGUCAAUGGACGAGAGCCUGAACCAGCCAAGUCGCGUGAAGGAUGACGGCCCUACGGGUUUUAAACUUCUUUUGUCAGGGAGCAAUAGGGUGCACGCGUGGGCUUAGCGAGAGUACCUGAAUAAAAAGCAUCGGCUAACUCCGUGCCAGCACCCGCGGUAAUACGUAGGAUGAGAGCGUUAUCCGGAUUUAUUGGGUUAAAGGGGUGCGUAGGCGGAAUAUCAAGUCAGCGGUAACAAUUCGGGGCUCAACCGCGUCGUGCCGUUGAAACUGAUAGUCUUGAGUGGGCGAGAAGUAUGUGGAAUGCGUGGUGUAGCGGUGAAAUGCAUAGAUAUAACGAAGAACUCCGAUUGCGAAGGCAGCAUACCGGCGCCCAACUGACGCUGAAGCACGAAAGCGUGGGUAUCGAACAGGAUUAGAUACCCUUGUAGUC